Molecule: ribosomal RNA, 730 nt
Filed under: Nothophoma quercina
Lineage: Eukaryota; Fungi; Ascomycota; Dothideomycetes; Pleosporales; Didymellaceae
Also listed under: 1 other name
Description: partial 28S ribosomal RNA
Rfam family: Eukaryotic large subunit ribosomal RNA
Source: RNAcentral
UUGCCCUAGUAACGGCGAGUGAAGCGGCAACAGCUCAAAUUUGAAAUCUGGCGUCUUUGGCGUCCGAGUUGUAAUUUGCAGAGGGCGCUUUGGCAUUGGCAGCGGUCCAAGUUCCUUGGAACAGGACGUCACAGAGGGUGAGAAUCCCGUACGUGGUCGCUAGCCUUUACCGUGUAAAGCCCCUUCGACGAGUCGAGUUGUUUGGGAAUGCAGCUCUAAAUGGGAGGUAAAUUUCUUCUAAAGCUAAAUACUGGCCAGAGACCGAUAGCGCACAAGUAGAGUGAUCGAAAGAUGAAAAGCACUUUGGAAAGAGAGUUAAAAAGCACGUGAAAUUGUUGAAAGGGAAGCGCUUGCAGCCAGACUUGCCUGUAGUUGCUCAUCCGGGUUUCUACCCGGUGCACUCUUCUAUAGGCAGGCCAGCAUCAGUUUGGGCGGUUGGAUAAAGGUCUCUGUCAUGUACCUCCUUUCGGGGAGAACUUAUAGGGGAGACGACAUGCAACCAGCCUGGACUGAGGUCCGCGCAUCUGCUAGGAUGCUGGCGUAAUGGCUGUAAGCGGCCCGUCUUGAAACACGGACCAAGGAGUCUAACAUCUAUGCGAGUGUUUGGGUGUCAAGCCCGAGCGCGUAAUGAAAGUGAACGGAGGUGGGAACCUUUCGGGGUGCACCAUCGACCGAUCCUGAUGUCUUCGGAUGGAUUUGAGUAAGAGCAUAGCUGUUGGGACGCGAAGAU